AGUGCCCCGUCGUAUACUCGAGACACACGCGCCGGAUCAGAUACAAGCGCGUGGACAGGUAUAGCGGCUGCGGGGCCCACACGGAAUGAAUGGUGCCUUCAAUCUCACCCCUUCAUUUUUCUCCGGCCUUCCUGCUCUUUCUUUCUUGCAUGCUAGGGUUGUAAAUUGCGAUCGCUUUCUUCGUCUUCCUUGAUCCAUGGAUGCCUUGGAUUCCGUCGUCGAUCCCUUGCGGGAGUUCGCCAAGGACAGCGUCCGUCUCGUCAAGAGAUGCCACAAGCCCGAUCGCAAGGAAUUCACGAAGGUGGCGGUACGCACGGCGAUCGGAUUCGUGGUGAUGGGAUUCGUGGGGUUCUUCGUGAAGUUGAUCUUUAUCCCGAUCAACAACAUCAUAGUCGGAUCCGGCUAGAAUAAGAGCCGUUCUAAGAAGAGAUCGUAGAGAAAUGAUACAUGUGCCAGUACAUAAGCUCCAGUUUCUUUUGACUCUACGAAGGACGAUUUCAUUAAUACUAAGAAUCUUUUUGUCCACAUUAGACAUUUAAGGGAAGCUGGUUGGCUUUGUAGUCGCUUUCUUAGGGAUUUUUUUUUUUUUUUUUAUUAAUGUGAGUUUACCGUAUACAUCAUUUUUGUGGUUAACUCCAUUUACUUGAAUUUGAUCAGGCAUCAAUCACUGUUUAAAUCUUAAUAAUUUAUCCUUGGUGAAGUAGCAGGCAUCUAGGUGUUGCUGAUUGGGAUUCAUACGGAUUGGGAUUUUUCCCUAACGAAGUGAUGUUUUUCUAUCA
Elaeis guineensis (African oil palm) is the source of this 779-nucleotide long non-coding RNA. RefSeq annotates it as protein transport protein Sec61 subunit gamma. NCBI's taxonomy places the organism in Eukaryota, Viridiplantae, Streptophyta, Magnoliopsida, Arecales, Arecaceae. The record is from RefSeq and is a predicted model, not a curated record.